This 854-nucleotide unclassified non-coding RNA is filed under the name Hevea brasiliensis (rubber tree). The record is from RNAcentral. Lineage: Eukaryota; Viridiplantae; Streptophyta; Magnoliopsida; Malpighiales; Euphorbiaceae.
GGCAACCUUGGGAAAAAUAUUAAAUAGAUAUGAGUAUUCGGCUCAAAGAGUUUAGAUAUUGAUUAGAGUUAUAAUUUCUAUAACUAUUUAUUUUUAAUGCUGUCCUAUUAUUAAAAAUGUACUAGACAAACAAAUCACCCAAUCCUUACGUGAGAGGAUAAAUUGAAGCUACACACACACCCAUAAUAUACCAUGGCUCUUUGAAAGCAACAUGUUCUCUUAAUCCUUUCUCUAAGAGAGUCAACGAUUCAUAUAGCUGUCGUACCUACCCUGCAGUGGCAAGAGUCAAUCGAUCCAUAUAGCCGUCGUACCUACCUUGCCCAUCCAUAUCCACGAGGGUUAGCGAAUUUCUCAUAAUGGACCUCCCCCGGGAUUCCACAUCUAUCAUACAUACAUAUAGCUCCAACUUAUCCCUUCAUUGUGGGUUUUUUGCUUCACAAGCUGUAGAUUGGAUAAUGGUCCCUCUUCACAGUCACCAAAAAUGUCUUACAAUGUGGAGCCUUAAAUCUUUUCCUUUGAAUCAACUUAGCCUAAUUGAGUGUGCAAAGUUGAGAUUUAACCAGCAUUUAUCAAUGAUGAAAGCCUUGCCCGACGAUAAGAGCAGCAUUCAAUUCAAUGCAAUAGCGAGGGAAAGAAGCCGUGAGCGAGGCUUUAAGUGAUCCUUGACCGACGAUGAAGAAGAAGUUGCGAGAAGAAAGAACUGAGAGGAUUUCAGGUGAGAGCUUUGCUCGACUGAGGAAUUGGAGAGGACAUAGUCGCACAACCCCUGCAUGCAAGAGAAAGAAAAUAAAGAUGAGAGUGGGGUAAUACAAAGAAUAGAUGGAAAAGAAGUUUCAAUCCUAGUUGGAUAUGCC